RNAcentral lists this ribosomal RNA (497 nucleotides) under uncultured bacterium. Its description in RNAcentral is "partial 16S ribosomal RNA". It matches the Rfam family "Bacterial small subunit ribosomal RNA", at positions 28 to 507 of the family's 1533-position model. The record is from RNAcentral.
GAUGAACGCUGGCGGCGUGCCUAAUACAUGCAAGUCGAGCGAACAGACGAGGAGCUUGCUUCUCUGACGUUAGCGGCGGACGGGUGAGUAACACGUGGAUAACCUACCUAUAAGACUGGGAUAACUUCGGGAAACCGGAGCUAAUACCGGAUAAUAUUUUGAACCGCAUGGUUCAAUAGUGAAAGACGGUUUUGCUGUCACUUAUAGAUGGAUCCGCGCCGCAUUAGCUAGUUGGUAAGGUAACGGCUUACCAAGGCAACGAUGCGUAGCCGACCUGAGAGGGUGAUCGGCCACACUGGAACUGAGACACGGUCCAGACCCCUACGGGAGGCAGCAGUAGGGAAUCUUCCGCAAUGGGCGAAAGCCUGACGGAGCAACGCCGCGUGAGUGAUGAAGGUCUUCGGAUCGUAAAACUCUGUUAUUAGGGAAGAACAAAUGUGUAAGUAACUAUGCACGUCCUGACGGUACCUAAUCAGAAAGCCACGGCUAACUACGUG